CCAGCAGUGGUCCUAAGCACGCGCCUGCCUGCUUGUCCACCGUGAGCCUCAAGCCCACAGGCCCCUAGACCACAGACCAGCACCUGGGAUGACCCCUGAUGGACGUGCUGCUCCAAGUGAGACCACGUGCCCAGAUGCACGGAGCUUGGUCCGAGUUCCUGGAUACCUCUACCUGUCCUGAGACACAGCCUGCCUGGGCAGCAGAACCAACUGUGGAGUUGGAUGGACCUGCUUCCAAGACCAAAUAGCUGAAACAGGAGGGCCCUACGUGGCAGUCCCUGGGAUGAGAAAGCCUUGUGUCAAAGCUGCCGCCGAGUCCCUCUCUAUUUUUACCUUCCUCACACUACCUCUUUGAGCCUGGAGGAGGCAUCCUGGCCUGAAGUGGCCCAAGCUGGCGUCUCCGAGGCAGAUUCAGCCAGCCCUCAGCUCGUUCUCCAGAAACCACCACCAAAAAGCCAGGACCACGUGGUUCCCAAGACUGCCUCCUUCAUGAAAGGAGACACGCAAAAUCAUUCUGCCUGGGAGGCCUUAUGUUUCUCUCUCAUCAUGAGGAGCCAAGCUACACUCAGAAGAAAAUAGUGACUUGGAGCAAAACAUGUAGCCUGAAAGGCCUUUUCCUCUUUUGGAAAUGACAUGGAAGCAACAUAGAUGUCCAUAGAUGGAGGAAUGGAUAACGAAGAAGUGGUCCAUAUACACAGUGGAAUAUUACCCAGCCAUAAAAAAGAAUGAAAAAAUGCUAUUUGCAGAGACGUGGAUGGACAAUAGAGAUUGUCAUACUGAGUGAGAUAAGGAAACUGAGGCUCAGAGAGGUUGAUGGACUUGCCCAAAGAUACCCAGCCUGGCACGGAGCUGGUCUCACCCUUGCAAAGCUAUACAGCCCGGUUACCAGGAUGAUAAGCGGCGCUUCACCGUGAUCCCCGCCAGCCAGAUAGGAGGUUCUACUGCUUCUACUUAAUGCAUGGAGAUAACGGCCAGCUUUGCCUACUCUGGAAUCGUUUUAUUUUAGGACCUGAGAGGCGAGGGUGGGGCUAUCCUACCACCAGGGAUCCUCUGCCUGACAGGACCCAGGCUGUCCUCAGAGUGGCCACAGGUCAGAAGACCAGCUGGUGAAAAGCGGGGGGUGCCUGUACUGGUCAGAGCUUUGACAGGGCCAACUUGGCUCCUGGGGAGGGUGGUGAGCCAAUAACUACUCAGGAGAGCUAGACCAUCUCCAUCAGACAGGAGAGGCUGACACCUCACAAACACCAUGUUUCUUUAGGACUAGCACCUCAGCUGAUCCUCUGGGAAGCCUUGGAACAUUCAAGCCAGAAUCAAGAGGUAGCAUCAUCAGGGUCUAGACAAGCAGGUGCCAAGGAGGGACAAAGCCACGCCUGGCCACUGGAGUCAAGGUCAUCACUCUAAUCUCCCUGCUGCUCCAGACUCACAUGGGCACAAUGGCUACUGUCCAGCUCUUGGAGCACCAGAUGAGGAAACUGAGGUCCAGAGAUGUAGAUGACACAUCCAAGGUCACUCAACAGGCUGAUUCCAAUUCUUUACAGUAUUUCAAAAUAUUUUGACACAUUUGCUUUUCUUUUUCUUAUGGGUUGGUGCAAACCCUCUGACUCAGGUGUUAAUGUCCAGACCCAACAAGUGUGUGUGUGUGUGUGUGUGUGUGAUUUCUGCUGUCAGUGAUAGUCAUUCCUCUUCUGUGUUUCCAGUGCUCUCUGCUCAUCCCUCCAUCAUACCGUUUAUCUAGCUGCACAGGAAUUAUCUGUGUUUGUCCUCCUGACAGGAGUGAGUACCUAAAGUACUUUGUGCUGUGUUUUAUACACAGUAGGCAAACAUGAAUUUUGUUUAAUGAAUAUUGAUGAAUUCACUGUCUACUCACUAUAAACAGGUAACCAUUUCUUGGCCCUAUUAAAUAUGCAAUCUUCUAUGAUCAAUUAAUUUAAAAUUAUGUUCCUCUGAAGGUUAAUAACUGAAAAACUCUGCUAAGAUGACUGUGCCUGUGAGGAGCAUAGCUGCUUGGGCCACACUGCUUCAUGGUGCCCCUUGUGGCAGCAUGCUCUAAUUGCAGGCAAAGGGUCUUAAGAAUGGGUCUUUCAAAAGAGACAUGUAAAGAAAAAAUUUUUUGCUGAAUGCAUGCAGAAAUACAUCAGCUUAUGCCUCCUUUGCCUUCACUCUGCUACCCUAGGGUCCAUAGUUGGAAUCCCGGCUGCUUUGAUUUGGUUAGUGGUAUUUCUAAGAUACUGGUUUGGCUCAGCGGCUGGGCUAUGGGUGAGGCAGCACUUAUAAGUAACAACCCAAAGUAGCCGUGUCCAUUUUCACAUUUCCUACUCUGUACUCCAUGUUCUGCUUUAGAUUCAGUUAACCCCCUAAGGACAGGGACUGUGUCUCAUUCGCUUCCAUCUCUCCAAUGCUUAGUGCAGGGCUUAACACAGAGUAGGUGCAGGUGCUGUGCCGGGAAUGUCUAAGAAUUGGCAUGUCAGAGCCUGGGGGUCAGAAUGAUCAGGUAAGGUCUACUUUCUGAUACCCAACCAUUCCAAACAUCCAUGCUUUUAUUAUUAUUCUGACUUCUCAAUUUGAUGUUAUUCUUCAGAAGUCACCAUUCCACUCUGUAACACUCAGUGUGUGUGAACACACAUUAAUCAUUACUGGGGUCAAUGACCAGAUGAGCCCUUAACAUUCCAUUACCAAGUGUUUGUCAUUUCUCAUUAGUGUUAUGUUUGUAAUCGCUAGGGACUUCUCCCUGGACAACUUGUCAAAAUCUGCAUGGCCUUGCCAAACUGUGGAUUUAUCCUUCCAGAAGUGUGGAGGGCAUUUGGAACUCGCGUGACUUUCCAGAGGAAACACAGUGCAGUACCAUGAUCUCUUUCAUCUUCUAUCAUCUCGCACAUCAAAACCCCCCCUCCACUCAUCAAGGGACUCUUGCAUAGCUGUGAGUAUUACCUCCCCACUGCCUCUCAUCCUUCACAGAACCGCAGGUGCCUCUUGCAAGAAGUGCCGCAUCCAUGUCCCUCUCCCUUCCUGCCUUUGUUUUCCAUUGUUAUUAGAAGCGUAGCCAUGGAGAGAAAUCUGGUGGUCAGCAGCGACUGCAGCCAUUAGAAAAGAUAGAUUUUCCUUCUCAUCUGACUAAGGAGAAUGGGGUCUGGUGUCUAGUCCCCACAGUUUGCAGAGAAUAAGCUGAACAAUUUCAAGAUGGCAAGUCCCCCCCAAAAUCCCUUUUUGUGAAACAAGCUCUUUGCAUGGGAGGGGUUACUGAUUGACAGGCGCUGCAUCCAGAAUGGGCUGUGGGAUUUACAGUGACCCCACCGCAGGCUCUCGCAGAAGCCACUCUGGGAGACAGCCCUUCAGGGCUGUCAUUGAAGAAUCAUGAACCAAAGGAUAAUACCACCUGCCUCCUGGAGCCCAGAGAAAAGGUCUCAGCCCAGGGGGCAAACAUUCUGCCUCCUCCUUCACAGAAAAAGCCCUCCUUAGCUUUAUGCCUGGACUCGGGCACUGCAGCUCUGGUUGGAAUGUGUGCUUCCUGGCAGCUCAUGCUGCCUUUCACUUGACACAGGCAGUGAUCCUUGUAGCAGGCCUCCCACCCUUCUCCUGCCUAGAGCUUUUGUGAAGACUGAAUGAGAGAAAAGUCCAUGCAUGUCCUCUAAAAAGCAAAGAGCACUGGUAGGAAUGGUGGAUGAAGUGCUGUCUGGCCACACCCUCCACAAGCUCUGGCUUUGGGCAUGCUUGAUGAGCGCAUUCCAUACUGCAACAAAAUGCCCUAUUUCAGUGAGAUACCCCAAAUUGGUAGUUUCAGAUUUUACAACCCUUUCUUUGUCUAUGAGCUUCUUUUUGGCCAACACUUGUUAGCCAUAGAUCUUCUAAACCCUUAUUUCCAAACAUCCAUUUCCUACUGAAACUCUCUUCUCCAUUUCAGAGCCUCCAGAAUACACCACCAGCAUCCCCAGCCCUUUUUCUUUAGUCACAGCUUUUCCCUGCCUGCCCUCCCCACCCUACUUACCCUUCAGAGCUUCUCCAUGUUGACCCCACCCUUGAAGACCAAGCAGAAGACCUCGCCUCAAGCUGACCCACAAAGCACCCUGUCCUCCUUCAAAAGAACUUACUGUGUUUCUGCUGACCUUGAACCAGGGAGGCAGUAAUCACACUGCUUAACGGGAGGCUCCGCAGUCAGGUUGCCCACUUCUUACUGCUUGUGUGACCUUGGGCAAGUUACUGGAACUUCCUGGGCAUUGCUUUCCUCAGCUAUAAAAUAAGGAUAAUAACAGGAGCUCUUUUCUGCAUCUAAAGGGCUGAGCACAAUGCCUGAUGUGCUGUAACCACUCAGUAAAGGAGAGUUAGCGUUAUCCUAAGAAUUUUCUUUAUAUGUUGCCAUGUAAGGUUGUAACAGCCCAGGAAAAGUAGAUUUCAUUGCCCCAGAUGAUGAAAAUGAAGCUAAGAAAGAUUAAAGCACUUGCCCAAGGUCACAUAUUUGGUCAUGGAGCUGAGAUGCAGAGUCAGGUCUGUCUGGUUGAGAUCCACAGCUUUUGCACUGCUAUAGCCAACCCACCUCAAUAGGCCUCCUGUGGUUAGGUCAGCCCUUAUUCCUCAGUUUACCCUUCAUGUGGGCCUCCCUUCUAUCCCCACCCAGACCCUGGGUUCCUCCAGAGCAAGGUUUCUCAAAUCUCCUCACCCCAGCUAUGUAUCUGUUGAGUGGACAAAAAAGUGAAUGGAUGGGGAAAAUACAUUUCAAGACCAGACUCUAUCCCUGAAGAACCUAGCCCUGGUACUUAAGUCCAUGGAAGUCAGGGGACUCUCAACAGAACCAGGGAUAAGCCCACCUCCAGGCUCUUCUCCACUUCAGCCUGCCUACCGCACUGAUCCAGGAUUUCUGACUGUGUCUCUCUCCUUCUAAAACACCUCCAGGUAUUCUUGCACUUCCUGUGGGACUAGUCUAUAGAAAGGAGUUUGGUUCCAACACGGUCUGUUAACAUAAGUCUUCACUGAGCUUAACACGUAUUUCUUUGAUCUGGAAGGCAAACGUUUGGAAAAGAGAUGGUCAAGGAUAGCAAUGAUGUACUCCCUCAGAACUGUGCAGUAAAGGGACCACGGCCACAUUCUCCUGGGGCUACGGUUUCUGGAUUUACAUCCCUUUAUUUUUAAAGUAAAACUGCAUGUAAAGUGCUCUAAACACCAAGAUCAGAAUGUUAGAACUUUAAAUAUGACAGAAUGAUGCCCAUUUUGCUGCUUGCCUCACCAUCCCAGAGAAAGAACCUCACGUGAGUUAAUUGGACAGAUGAGAACAAGAAAGAUGGUGAGGUGCGCCCCACAUUAUUGAGACCCAAUGUUUUGGUGUAGACACAAUCAAAUGAAACUGUCCUUUAAGCCUCCUCAGGGACCAAGCAAAGAUGAGGAGUAAAGCAGUAGCAUUAUAGAGAAAAUCAUGCAUGUUCUGAAUAGAAACUUUUCUGUUAUAGAACACCUGAAAUCCCAGUUAGUCAUAGCUAUCAUUUUUUGAGUGCUUAAAACUCCAUGUCCUAAUCAAGGCCAAUGGGUGGCAGAGCAGCUUUGACCUCGCAUAUGUCUGACUCCUGUCCAGCAUCUUUCUCCUAAAGCACAAGGCUCUCAUUUCCCUUGAGGAAUCUUGGAGUCCAAGAGACUUAGAGCUCUUCGGUCAUCUGUUAUAUGUACCCUCUAAUCAUCCUCUUCCUCAACUCAUUAGCCAAGGUCAAGCCCUGUGCAUAAUUCAGUUAGCUGAUUUGUCUAUUCAUCGUAUGCUUAUGCAAAUGGCUUGAAAUAUUUCCCCAGUAUUCUUUUUAAUGGAGGAUAAUUACUUGACAAUAUUGUGAUGGUUUUUGCCGUACAUCAACAUGAAUAGGCAUACAUGUGUCCCCUCUCCUUAACCCGCCCCCCCGCCUUGCUUGUCACCCCAUCCCUUCAGGUUGGCACAGAGCACUGACUUGGGGUGCCUUGUGUCAGCAUCAAACUCCCACUGGCUAUCUGUUUUACGUAUGGUAAUGUGUAUAUUUCAGUGCUGUUUUCUCAAAUCAUCCCACCCUCUCCUUCUCCCAGUGAGUUCAAAGGUCUGCUCUUUAUGUCUGAGUCUCCUUUGCUGCCCCCUUGUAGGAACACUGGUACUAUGAUUCUAGAUUCCAUAUAUAUGUGUUAAAAAUAUAUAGUAUUUGUCUUUCUCUUUCUCCCCUAGUAUUCCUAUUGGCAAGAAAAUGGGGCCCACAUCAAGGUAAUUCAUGAGAUAAUACUUGCCAAUGUUUUCAAUCAUGUUUUAACUAGUAGUAAAUCUUGCUUGAUUUAUCUGAAAAUUGUUCCUCUUUCUCCUGCCUCUGUCUUGUAAGAUUCUAUGAACCCCUUCUGAUAACAACAGCAGCUAAGUAAAAAGAAACAAAUGAAAUUAAUUUUAAUAUCAUUUAUUUAACCUAAUGUAGCCAAAAUGUUACUAUAUUUUACCCAAAACAUUAUUGAGCUAUUUUAUAUUUUUCAUACUAGCUUUCCAAAAUCUGGUGUAUAUUUUAUACUUAAAGCACUAGUCUCAAUUCAGACCACUAUCAAUUCAGACUAGUCAUAGCUCAAGUGCUCAGUCCACAUAUGGCUAUUAUACUGGACAACACAGAUAUAAAUAGGCAUUCUCCUUUUCCUAUUUCAUCUAUUUGUUUCUAUUUCAACUUUAAAUUUAGGUUUUGCAUGAGGAUUGGAUCAUAAAAGGCUACCCUAAUGGAAAUGUGCCCUUUGGAUAAUGUAAUAAAACAUAGCAGCUGUUUGGGACAGCAGAAAGACCAUACCUUGAAAGAAAGUAAAAGUUGCUCAGUCGUGUCUGACUCUGCGACCCCAUGGACUACACAGUCCAUGGAAUUCUCCAGGCCAGAAUACUGGAGUGGGUAGCCUUUCCCUUCUCCAGGGGAUCUUCCCAACCCAGGGAACAUACCUCAGGAGUUAUAAAACCUGGGUUUCAAUUCUCACAACUAACUGGGGAUGUGGCCAGGGCAACCCUCAACUUCCCUCAGCCUCUUUCCUCAUGUUGAAAGAGAGGUGAUGGGGACUUCCCUGGCAGUCCAGUGGUUAAGACUUCAUGCUCCCAAUGCAGGGCAUGUGGGUUCAAUCCUUGGUUGGGGAACUAAGAUUCCACAUGCCAUGCAUGUGUGGCCAAAAAAAAAAAAAAAGAGAGAGAGAGAAAGAGAUGAUGGUUUAUGAUUACUGGUUCUUUCCAUUUCUAAAAAUCUCUUUCUGCUUACUGCACACACCCUUUCCAGGGUUUCUGCAGCCGUUUCCUCUUUCCAGGCACAAUUUUUGUGUGACAGGGCUUAUCCCAAGCUGGAGUAAUGUGAUCCCUGUGCCCAGCUCUGUGCCUGGCAUGCUGCAGGCACAAGAAAUGCUUGUUGAAUGAAGGAAAAUCCAGUUCUCUGAGGGACCCCUGGGCCUCUCAGUUUUUGCUAGAGUAACUAUAGCAGCCUUAGCAAUUAAUUAUACUCUUAUUUCCUUUCUCAUAUUAGCCUAAAAUCCUGACAAUCUAAGCUUUCUGAAGGGUAAUAGCUGGAUUAGAAACCAUUUCCUGAUCCUGUUAGCCAAGGAGAUGGUGCUCAGCUAUAGGCAUGGCUGCCUAGAGACCCCCGCAAAUGGUCUCCCUCUUAUUACAUGCUGUUCUGAUGCUGAGGAGAGUUAAUUAAUGACUCUAAAUAAGAAAACAAUCAAAUCUGUCUGCAGUCAUAUGAGUCAGAGCAGACCCAGAUGGGAAACCGGUCCUUGGCCUCCAAGUGCCCUGGGGGAAAGCAAUAACAGCUUUUGCUCCAGACGUCAGAGCCCUGCAAAAUCCCAACCUAGAAGGGGAAGGAGUUGCUCAGAAUGGCUUGGAGACCCAGCAUGACGUGAAACAGUUUCUUAAAAGACCAGGCCCCCUACCUGGGUGUUGUGCACACUGACUCUAGGGAGAGGAGAAAAAGCACAAGCCUGUUUCUCUCUCCUCUCUUUAGACACCCAAACCUGCAGCAACCGCACGGGCAGCUCUCAGGCACAGGCCUCUUGGGUGUGUGUUGCAAGACCAGGGCAAUUGGCAUUGCCACCUGGAGGAUAUGUGGCUUGAAGCCUAUCAAGCCCCAAACCUGCCCACCUUCAGGACUCCUGUAGCCACAUAUGGAAGUGGAACAUUGGUUGUGAUGACAUGAGGGCAGAAAUGUGAUGUUUCCCUGAGAUUAGGUGAGGCUUGAAACAGUGAAAAGUUCAUUUUUGUGUUAGAAAGUUUGCUGUGAAAAAUCUGAGAGUGAGAAUGGGUGGAAGAAGCCUCUUAACAAUAUCCAAGUGUUCUCAGCACUGGAACAGGAUGCUAGCAGAUAAAGAUAAGCCCUACUUCUUUAGCUCUAUAUGAACUCUGUUGAGUAAUAACAGCAUCCUCAUGGUUCUCUCUCUCUUCUUGCAUGCUUGGCUUCCUGUGAAACAGUUCCAUGCUGGAAAGAAAACUCUGCACCACUGGCCAUGAGGGUCAUAUACCUUUCUCCUUCUUUGGUAAUCAAGUUCAGGUUAGGAGCCCUUUGUCAGGAUAAAAUGUAAUACGGAUGUGACAAUGCACUUGCUCAGUUUGAAAUCCUCUUUGUGAUUUAUGUCUGAAUAUUAUUGGUCCCCAAUUUAAUUCUUCUAAAAUUUGGUUAGAAUAUCCUAGAGGACAGGACAAUAUUUCAAUAUUUCUUCUACAAUAGCAGUAGGGAAAAGACUAGUGGUAAAGAGGAGUCUCUGGAGUUUUAAGACAUCCAGACUGGAACAUAAAUGUUGCCCCUUCUGAUCUGUAUAACCAUGGGCAAACCCCUUUCCUCUUGAAGCAGCUUCAUUUGCUCAUCUUGAAAGUGGGAAUAACAACACCACCCACCUCAUAGGACUCUGAGAAUUAAAUACAUUCUUACAUGUGAAGAGCCUGACUCAGAAAUGUUUCCCCUUAUUAUUAGCUUGCAAUUCUUUAAAUAGGGACUGCUGCUGGGUUCAUUCAAAGUGAUGCAGUAGAUCAUCUACAGCUAUGUUUUCUCUUGUUCUAUUCUGUGACCAGUUGUGGGGAAAUCCUCACAGAGGCUCUUGGUCCUUACAGUUUGCUCCUACUCUAUGCCCUAAAACUGUUUUUUCUCUACAUGGGCUGAGACCAGUGCUCCAGAACCUUGGACAGCUCCACUCCUUAGGGACUGCUGGGCUGCCUGAAGGAGCAUGAAGGACUUGGGGGAUUUUCCCAGAAGGGCUGCAUUAGUGUGGGGAUUUAGGGAUCCCAAGGGCCUCAGUCUCACUCCCAGAAGGUGUACCAGUGAGUGCAUGCUCAGAUUCUUCAAUACAACCAGCCCUCCUGGAAAAUUCUGAGGAGCCUCUCCUCCUCAGAAACCCUAUCCAUAGGAGUUACCAAAUCAUCAGGGCCUUUCCUUCUCUCCUAAGAACUCCAAGGGUUUUUUUUUGUUUUUUUUUUUUGAACCCAAGAAGAACAGAAAUACCACCCACAUCUUCCUGUAUCCGCUGAUAUUUAAUUUGUUUGGCUUCAGUACAAGGAUUAAACCUUCUUGAUUAACCUUGAGUGAAAGUAAUAAUGUAUGAGCAUGAAGAAAGGCUUUAUAAGACAGAGACUCAUGUAUGAAUGAAAAAAACAUAAUGUCAUUGCCUGUAUGUGAUGUUAAGUGACAGUCUCUAAUCAGGAUAAGCAGGUAGUUCAAUUUAUGAGAUAAUUUAUCUUUUCACUCUACAGUGCAGAACACAACACACAUAUGCAGUCACCUUCUGAACAGGCAAGGAAGAGAUUAAGUCCUAUUUUUACUUUAUGAUACUGAGUCAUGUAGUUCAAUGCAAAUCACACGGAUGUCAAAGUAAGAACAAUACCAGGUAUUUAAAUAUCUCUUUUACUUUAAGGAGCACUGAAGAGUUUGUGGCUGCAUGAAAUCACAUUAGAGCAACUCCAGGAGAGGAGACAUGUGUCAGCAGGUGGGCAUUUAAGACUGAGCAUAUCCCAUCCAUCCCCCCUAUUCCCAUAUCAUUAGGCCUGGAGGAGCCAGUGUUUACUAGUUCUUUGCAUUUAAAAAUAGCACCCUGAUACCUGGGUCUGACACUUUCUAGGCCAUAAUGUUGAUGAGAAAAAGAAAGUAUAUGUUUGAAAAAUAUGCUUCUGAUUAAUAAUGAGGAAGAGGGGAGGACAGAAGUAGAAUAGGAAAAAAAAGGAGAAAGGCAUUGAAGAAAGAGAGGAAAACCUCCCUGAGCUUGAUGAAUGCUUUUCAUGCAUUUUUCUCUUAAACAGAUUUAAUGUCCACCCUCAGUUGGAUGAAACCUUGAACAAAGGUCUUUAGGCUCUCUUUAAAUAUUUCCAUAUGGGAGAGGACAGUAGCAGUUCCAUUGCUUGAAGGAACUGCAGACAAGAACUUCAACUCAGGACUCCAAAAGCAGACAAGUAGCCCCCAAAUGGUUUUUACCUAACAAUGCCCACACCCACCUUGAGCUUUCACAAUGUGAGGGAGUGUUCGUUGCCAAAUUUCAGCUUGGUUACACUUCUGCCCAGCAGAGGUCGCUGUGGACACUUGUGGAGACGCCGGGUAGGGCGGCUCUGUCUGGUAACUGUUCUUCCUGUGGUUCCACGGGCCACUGUCUGCCCCUCAUACGGGAAAGGAGUCUCUGGUGACAGCACCUUUGCUGUCAAAGUGCUGUAUAACUGAGGCCACUUGGUGGGAGUGGGCAGGUUUGGGAGGGCUAUCCUCAUCCUGUAGGAUAUCUGCCCACAGUGAUAUCUCUGUCAUGUUCGUGCCUUCCUCAUAAGUGUAUUAAGGGUAUUACUGAGAGCCCACCUGUCAACUGACCAGCAACUCCGGCCUCAUAGCCCUUCCAGAUAGAGACCAAAGUGAUGAAAAUUGUCUUGCCACACAAUCUUGCACCC
Long non-coding RNA from Cervus elaphus (red deer), 10849 nucleotides. RefSeq lists it as uncharacterized. The record is from RefSeq and is a predicted model, not a curated record. The transcript is spliced from 7 exons. Lineage: Eukaryota; Metazoa; Chordata; Mammalia; Artiodactyla; Cervidae.